Molecule: ribosomal RNA, 465 nt
Filed under: Vreelandella stevensii
Lineage: Bacteria; Pseudomonadati; Pseudomonadota; Gammaproteobacteria; Oceanospirillales; Halomonadaceae
Description: partial 16S ribosomal RNA
Rfam family: Bacterial small subunit ribosomal RNA
Source: RNAcentral
CCUACGGGAGGCAGCAGUGGGGAAUAUUGGACAAUGGGGGCAACCCUGAUCCAGCCAUGCCGCGUGUGUGAAGAAGGCCCUCGGGUUGUAAAGCACUUUCAGUGAGGAAGAACGCCUGGUGGUUAAUACCCAUCAGGAAAGACAUCACUCACAGAAGAAGCACCGGCUAACUCCGUGCCAGCAGCCGCGGUAAUACGGAGGGUGCGAGCGUUAAUCGGAAUUACUGGGCGUAAAGCGCGCGUAGGUGGCUUGAUAAGCCGGUUGGGAAAGCCCCGGGCUCAACCUGGGAACGGCAUCCGGAACUGUCAAGCUAGAGUGCAGGAGAGGAAGGUAGAAUUCCCGGUGUAGCGGUGAAAUGCGUAGAGAUCGGGAGGAAUACCAGUGGCGAAGGCGGCCUUCUGGACUGACACUGACACUGAGGUGCGAAAGCGUGGGUAGCAAACAGGAUUAGAUACCCUAGUAGUC